Non-coding RNA from Oryza barthii, 205 nucleotides. The record is from Rfam. Lineage: Eukaryota; Viridiplantae; Streptophyta; Magnoliopsida; Poales; Poaceae.
AAAAAGACAAACCCUGGGUUUCCGUGUUAACGUUUGACCGUUCGUCUUAUAUGAUUUUUUUUAUAAUUAGUAUUUUCAUUGUUGUUAGAUGAUAAAACAUGAUUAAUACUUUAUGCGUGACUUGUCUUUUUAAUUUUUUUUAUAAUUUUUUCAAAUAUGACGGACGAUCAAAUGUUGGACACGGAAACCCAGGGUUUGUCUUUUU